GAUGAACGCUGGCGGCGUGCCUAAUACAUGCCAGUCGAGCGAACAGACGAGGAGCUUGCUCCUCUGACGUUAGCGGCGGACGGGUGAGUAACACGUGGAUAACCUACCUAUAAGACUGGGAUAACUUCGGGAAACCGGAGCUAAUACCGGAUAAUAUAUUGAACCGCAUGGUUCAAUAGUGAAAGACGGUUUUGCUGUCACUUAUAGAUGGAUCCGCGCCGCAUUAGCUAGUUGGUAAGGUAACGGCUUACCAAGGCAACGAUGCGUAGCAGACCUGAGAGGGUGAUCGGCCACACUGGAACUGAGACACGGUCCAGACUCCUACGGGAGGCAGCAGUAGGGAAUCUUCCGCAAUGGGCGAAAGCCUGACGGAGCAACGCCGCGUGAGUGAUGAAGGUCUUCGGAUCGUAAAACUCUGUUAUUAGGGAAGAACAAAUGUGUAAGUAACUAUGCACGUCUUGACGGUACCUAAUCAGAAAGCCACGGCUAACUACGUG
RNAcentral lists this ribosomal RNA (497 nucleotides) under uncultured bacterium. RNAcentral's name for it is "partial 16S ribosomal RNA". It matches the Rfam family "Bacterial small subunit ribosomal RNA", at positions 28 to 507 of the family's 1533-position model. The record is from RNAcentral.